RNAcentral lists this ribosomal RNA (328 nucleotides) under Exochomus quadripustulatus (pine ladybird). RNAcentral describes it as "partial 16S ribosomal RNA". Lineage: Eukaryota; Metazoa; Arthropoda; Insecta; Coleoptera; Coccinellidae. The record is from RNAcentral.
UAUAAUUUAAAGUAUGGCCUGCCCACUGAAAAUUUUGAAGGGCCGCAGUAUUUUGACUGUGCAAAGGUAGCAUAAUCAUUAGUUUUUUAAUUGAAAGCUGGAAUGAAUGGUUUAAUGAAAAAAUGACUGUCUCAAUUUAAUUUUUUUAGAACUUUAUUUUUAAGUUAAAAAGCUUAAAUAAAUUUAAAAGACGAGAAGACCCUAUAGAGUUUAAUUAUUAAGAAAAUAAAUUAAUUUAUAGAAAUUAUUUUAUUUAUUUUUUAAAUAAUUUGGUUGGGGUGACUAAAAAAUUAAAUAAACUUUUUUUAAUUUAUUACAUAGAUUAAUG